UUUCCGUAGGUGAACCUGCGGAAGGAUCAUUAAAGAGAAUAUGCCCUUCGGGGUAGAUCUCCCACCCUUUGUUUAUAUUACCUUUGUUGCUUUGGCAGGCCCGUCUUCAGACCACCGGCUUCGGCUGGUCAGUGCUUGCCAGAGGACCCAAAACUCUUAUUAUUAAUGUCGUCUGAGUACUAUAUAAUAGUUAAAACUUUCAACAACGGAUCUCUUGGUUCUU
RNAcentral lists this unclassified non-coding RNA (223 nucleotides) under plant metagenome. Its description in RNAcentral is "partial contains small subunit ribosomal RNA, internal transcribed spacer 1, and 5.8S ribosomal RNA". The record is from RNAcentral.